RNAcentral lists this ribosomal RNA (891 nucleotides) under uncultured bacterium. RNAcentral describes it as "bacterial SSU rRNA". The stretch from base 1 to 794 matches the Rfam family "Bacterial small subunit ribosomal RNA". The record is from RNAcentral.
AUUGAACGCUGGCGGCAUGCUUUACACAUGCAAGUCGAACGGCAGCGGGGUAGUGCUUGCACUACUGUCCGGCGAGUGGCGAACGGGUGAGUAAUAUAUCGGAACGUACCGAGUAAUGGGGGAUAACCAAUCGAAAGAUUGGCUAAUACCGCAUACGUCCUACGGGAGAAAGCGGGGGAUCGCAAGACCUCGCGUUAUUCGAGCGGCCGAUAACUGAUUAGCUAGUUGGUGGGGUAAAGGCCUACCAAGGCGACGAUCAGUAGCGGGUCUGAGAGGACGAUCCGCCACACUGGGACUGAGACACGGCCCAGACUCCUACGGGAGGCAGCAGUGGGGAAUUUUGGACAAUGGGGGCAACCCUGAUCCAGCCAUGCCGCGUGUAUGAAGAAGGCCUUCGGGUUGUAAAGUACUUUUGUUAGGGAAGAAAAGGGAAGUGCUAAUACCACUUUUUGCUGACGUUACCUAAAGAAUAAGCACCGGCUAACUACGUGCCAGCAGCCGCGGUAAUACGUAGGGUGCGAGCGUUAAUCGGAAUUACUGGGCGUAAAGCGAGCGCAGACGGUUAUUUAAGCAGGAUGUGAAAUCCCCGGGCUUAACCUGGGAACUGCGUUCUGAACUGGAUAGCUAGAGUUGUGUCUGAGGGGGGUAGUAUUCCACGUUUAUCAAUGAAAUGCGUAGAUAUGUGGAGGAAUUCCGAUGGCGAAGCAGCCCCCUUGGUAUACUCUGUCGUUGUGCGCGAAGGCGGGGUGACUACAUGAGUGAUGCCCUUGUGUCCUGGGGUGAGAUCCACAUGUGUUCGUUCUGAGCGGUGGUGCUACGCUCGGUGAGAAAAAUGUAAAGUGAAUUUGUUGCUUAUGUGGGAUGAAUUAAGAUUGUGGAUUUUGUUUGGUA